CCUACGGGUGGCAGCAGUGAGGAAUAUUGGUCAAUGGACGAGAGUCUGAACCAGCCAAGUAGCGUGAAGGAUGACUGCCCUAUGGGUUGUAAACUUCUUUUAUAUGGGAAUAAAAUGUUCCACGUGUGGGAUUUUGUAUGUACCAUAAGAAUAAGGGUCGGCUAACUCCGUGCCAGCAGCCGCGGUACUACGGAGGGUGCGAGCGUUAUCCGGAUUUAUUGGGUUUAAAGGGAGCGUAGGUGGAUUGUUAAGUUAGUUGUGAAAGUUUUCGGCUUAACCUUAAAAUUGCAGUUGAUACUGGCAGGCUUGAGUACAGUAGAGGUGGGCGGAAGUCGUGGUGUAGCGGUGAAAUGCUUAGAGAUGACGAAGAACUCCGAUUGCGAAGGCAGCUCACUGGACUGCAACUGACACUGAGGCUCGAAAGUGUGGGUAUCAAACAGGAUUAGAUACCCGAGUAGUC
RNAcentral lists this ribosomal RNA (460 nucleotides) under uncultured bacterium. Its description in RNAcentral is "partial 16S ribosomal RNA". It matches the Rfam family "Bacterial small subunit ribosomal RNA", at positions 338 to 795 of the family's 1533-position model. The record is from RNAcentral.